UCAUGACCUGAGCUGAAGUCGGAUGCUCAACUGACUGAGCCAGCCAGGCACCCCACACUUUGAUAGAUUUUUAAAUUAAAUCUUGAAAUUGAAAUAUAGAACGUUUUCCUGGACAAUUGUGAACUCUUGGUAGAGAAACAAUUUCCUUAUUUCUGACAGUUUUAGAAGGGAGUUGAUAGGAUCUUCUAGACAGAGCCAGUGAAGUUUCUACUAUGACAUGUUUUCCGGUUCCUUCCUGGUAUGUUCUCUUUUGUAUUGAACGUAAAAAGUGGUUUCAAAGUAGCAUCCGUGUUCCGUCAUUUCAAGUCCAUUGCACUUGCAGCCUGUGAGUGGGAUGCUCCCCAUCAGGUGUUGAGUGGUGUCGUGGUCCUGGGACAGCUCAGGCGUCACAGCCCCGGCCCCAGCCCUGGUCCCCAGGAGUAGCCGUGUGAGCUCAUGCAAGGCAGAAGGGAUGUGCAGGCUGAGCUUGUGCGGGCCCGUAGAGGGAAGGGGACACAGCCAGACGUCUGGCCUCACGUGACUGAUGUAAGGAGGCCGCACUGCGUUUCCACUCCCUGCAAUUAUUUGGACUGUGCUGUGGGACCGUCUGGAUGUCAUAGUGCAGUAUCGUGAACAUGGUCUGAAUUUGAUUUUAAUGAUGUAUAUCAGUGUGAAAACAUGACACGGGGCCUUGUCUUUGUACAUUUGUGUGUGCAUAUGUAAUUUCAGGGGGGGUGGUUAUAUUUUAUUUUCACAAACACAAACCUUUUUUAACUGGUAAGUUCAUAUUCUGUGCCUUAAAAUGCAAUUGUUAAAAAGUGUUUUAAUUCUCAUUGUCAUGGGAAGGAAGGUCCUACACGCCAAACUGCCCGCUCCAUCCAGAGGACAUCGGAGAGAAAGACGUGUAGAGAAAGAGUG
Molecule: long non-coding RNA, 897 nt
Organism: Herpailurus yagouaroundi (jaguarundi)
Lineage: Eukaryota; Metazoa; Chordata; Mammalia; Carnivora; Felidae
Exons: 3
Source: RefSeq, a predicted model, not a curated record